UCGAGAAUCUUCGGCAAUGGGCGCAAGCCUGACCGAGCGACGCCGCGUGCGGGAUGAAGGCCUUCGGGUUGUAAACCGCUGUCGGAGGGGAGGAAAUCCAUGGUGGCUAUCCAUUGUGGUUGACCUAUCCUCGGAGGAAGUACGGGCUAAGUUCGUGCCAGCAGCCGCGGUAACACGAACCGUACGAACGUUAUUCGGAAUCACUGGGCUUAAAGAGUACGUAGGCGGCCGCGCAAGUUGGGUGUGAAAUCCCUCGGCUCAACCGAGGAACUGCGCUCAAAACUGCGUGGCUUGAGGAAGACAGGGGUGAGUGGAACUAAGGGUGGAGCGGUGAAAUGCGUUGAUAUCAUUAGGAACACCAGUGGCGAAGGCGACUCACUGGGUCUUUUCUGACGCUGAGGUACGAAAGCCAGGGGAGCGAACG
RNAcentral lists this ribosomal RNA (424 nucleotides) under uncultured prokaryote. RNAcentral describes it as "bacterial SSU rRNA". It matches the Rfam family "Bacterial small subunit ribosomal RNA", at positions 355 to 774 of the family's 1533-position model. The record is from RNAcentral.